Long non-coding RNA from Chenopodium quinoa (quinoa), 1737 nucleotides. RefSeq lists it as uncharacterized. NCBI's taxonomy places the organism in Eukaryota, Viridiplantae, Streptophyta, Magnoliopsida, Caryophyllales, Amaranthaceae. The record is from RefSeq and is a predicted model, not a curated record. The transcript is spliced from 3 exons.
UCAUACUUGCGAUGCAUUUAAUAGCUUUGCUCUUUCCUUCAAUUAUAGGUAAAGACUAUAAAAAAACCAUGUCCACAUUAGUAUUAUCGUGGAUCCAGGUGACUUAUCAAACUUUUUUUUUCUUUCUCUUUCUUUUAAUUUCCUCUCUCCUCCUGACAAAUUAUUUUCUCUCUCUUCUUUCUUUUCUUUUUUCUCUCCUCCUUUGAUGUUCUCUGUAUUACACUUCAACAAUGGUGAAGGCGAGAAGAGGAAGUUCAUCAAAAUCAACAAUGGCAAUCAAAACUAGAUGUGAAAUUUUUAUCAAAUUGGAGUAAACGAAGAGGAUACAUAUGAUCAUCAGUUGGGCGGCCUUGCAAAGGUAGUUUUCGAUUAAUAAGUUCAAUUUUCUGUGUAAAUCGUCCGAUUCAGUUUAAUUUAACUUAGAUUUUCAAUUUUAGUGCUUAAAAUUCACUUUCAAGAGGUAUUUUAGUAUUUGAUUCGAUUUUUAGGGCUUAGUUUUUAUUAGCUUAAUUCUACUGUUUUUUUUUAAAUAAAGUUUUGGUUUUCUCUCUUGAAUUGUUCAUAGUUUUAGUGUAGAACUAGUAUAGUAACCGUACAAUUGCACGGUUUUGAAAGUUCAAAUAUUAAAGUUCAUAAAAUUGAAACUAAAAUUAGCUUAAUGCAUGAUAGUGUUAUUUUCUUACAUUAUUUAAUUAUUCAUUCGCAAUAAUAUAAACCGAUCUUAUCAUGAUAUUGCAUAUCAUAAAUUUAAUUCAAUGUUGAAUUAAAAAAAAAUAGAUUUGGAGAUAUAAAAAAGUUUCAAGCCCUUUAUACAUUUUACCUUUUAGAUUAGAACUACUCAUGCACAUGCAUAUGUACAUACUUUUGGUUUAAUCAAGAUAAUAAUACUUUCUCUGUCCCUUGUGGUCAUAAAAAAUUAAAUAAGGUACUCGUACUUAAAUUGUCCCAAGAUAAAUAAAAGUUGCCAUGUUAUAAAUACAAGUUAUCCAAUAUAUUGAAAACUUAUGUAUAACUAUAACUUACUAUGGAGUACGUGUAAUAUCCUAUAUAUAAAGUGAAAGGGGGUUUUGGGUGAUAAAUUUCACUUUCCCAAAUUACCCCUUCUCAUUUUUGUCUUUUUUUUUUUAAAAAAAAAAAAAACAAAAACCCUACCAUUUAAAAAAAAAAAACUAACAUAAUACCAUCAUUUUUUAAAUCUUAAUGCCAUAUUUUUUUAGGUACUUGAGUUAUUUUAUAGCACCAUUUUUUUGCCAAAAAAAAAAAAUUAAAUAUUGUACCACGGGUACUAUUGUGCAAUUGAGUUUUAAUUUUGGUUUCAUGCAUCUUACAAUCAUGUUAAUCCAUCAAAGUAGAUAUGAUUAGCUUUCAGAUCUAAAAUCUCUCUCUCUCCACCUUUCUGAUCACUCUUUCUCUCUACUCCAUUGCUUUGGUUCCCAGCAAUCUACCGAUCAACAUUUAGUAAUUCCAAUCAAUUUCUUAUUGCAAAUGUUCACGAAAUUCGCAGUUUACAUACUUCGAUUUUGCUGCAAAAGUUACAAUAUGUAAAUGUAAACUAUCCGAUCAUUCUCACAAGUUUUUGGUCAACUACAUGCACAAGUUGCCCACUAAGCCCAUUAAAUUAACUCAUCUUCUCCAAGCUUCAUUUUCGAUGUUCGGACUAAUUCAAGAAGCUCACAAAAUUUUAAAGAUUGUGAAAGCAAUGGUGUCCUUCGAACAAGUGUAUUAUUCUGAUAGCGG